CGCAUCUGUGCAUGCAGCAUAUCAAUAAGCGGAGGAAAAGAAACUAACAAGGAUUCCCCUAGUAACGGCGAGUGAAGCGGGAAGAGCUCAAAUUUGAAAUCUUAAAGGGUUUCCCUUUACGAAUUGUAGUUUAAAGAAGUGUUUUCUGUUGAGGUUUUGGUAAAAGUUCUUUGGAAUAGGACAUCAUAGAGGGUGAGAAUCCCGUAUUUGACCUUUACUUUCAACUUUGCUGAUACACUUUCAAAGAGUCGGAUUGUUUGGGAAUGCAGUCCAAAAUGGGUGGUAAAUUUCAUCUAAAGCUAAAUAUUGGCGAGAGACCGAUAGCGAACAAGUACCGUGAGGGAAAGAUGAAAAGAACUUUGAAAAGAGAGUUAAACAGUACGUGAAAUUGUCAAAAGGGAAGCGUUUGACACCAGUGUUGUUUUUCUGAAAAUCAAUUAAAGAACUGUUUAUGCUAAGUUGUUUAGACUUUAUCAGCUAUACUGCUUAGUUUUGAGCUUUUCUUUAAUGCACUUUUCAGUUAACAAGUCAACAUCAAUUUCUUUUGCUGUAAAAAAGCUUGAGGAAGGUGGCUUGAGAUUCGUCUUAAGUGUUUAUAGCCUCUUGCCUAUGCAGUCGGAGAGAUUGAGGUCUGCAGCGUAGAUCCUUCGGGGCUAAAUGCAUUUGUGCUAAGUUAUAGCAUUUUAUAGACAACUUGUUGACUAUGAUUUGUCUUGUAGCUUACUCGCUUAUGUUAUUUUACCUACGCUUAGGAUGUUGAAUCUGUGCGAGACUAC
This 776-nucleotide ribosomal RNA is filed under the name uncultured Neocallimastigales. RNAcentral describes it as "partial large subunit ribosomal RNA". It matches the Rfam family "Eukaryotic large subunit ribosomal RNA", at positions 26 to 644 of the family's 3401-position model. The record is from RNAcentral. Lineage: Eukaryota; Fungi; Neocallimastigomycota; Neocallimastigomycetes; Neocallimastigales.